Molecule: ribosomal RNA, 253 nt
Filed under: uncultured bacterium
Lineage: Bacteria
Description: partial 16S ribosomal RNA
Rfam family: Bacterial small subunit ribosomal RNA
Source: RNAcentral
UACGUAGGGGGCAAGCGUUGUCCGGAAUCAUUGGGCGUAAAGAGCGUGUAGGCGGCCAGAUAAGUCCGCUGUGAAAUCUCGAGGCUCAACUUCGAGCUGUCGGUGGAAACUGUCUGGCUAGAGUCCGGAAGAGGAGAAUGGAAUUCCUGGUGUAGCGGUGAAAUGCGCAGAUAUCAGGAAGAACACCCGUGGCGAAGGCGGCUCUCUGGUACGUGACUGACGCUGAGACGCGAAAGCGUGGGGAGCAAACAGG